GAUGAAGAACGUAGCGAAAUGCGAUACGUAAUGCGAAUUGCAGAAUUUCCGUGAAUCAUCGAAUCUUUGAACGCACAUUGCGCCCCUUGGUAUCCCGAGGGGCAUGCCUGUUCGAGCGUCAUUUCACCACUCAAGCCUGGCUUGGUGUUGGGCGACGUCCCCUUUAGGGACGCGCCUCGAAACGCUCGGCGGCGUGGCACCGGCUUUAAGCGUAGCAGAAUCUUUCGCUUUGGAAGUCGGGGCCCCGCCUGCCGGAAUACCUACUCGUAAGGUUGACCUCGGAUCAGGCAGGGAUACCCGCUGAACUUAAGCAUAUCAAUAAGCGGAGGA
This 330-nucleotide unclassified non-coding RNA is filed under the name soil metagenome. RNAcentral's name for it is "partial contains 5.8S ribosomal RNA, internal transcribed spacer 2, and large subunit ribosomal RNA". The stretch from base 1 to 121 matches the Rfam family "5.8S ribosomal RNA", at positions 35 to 154 of the family's 154-position model. The record is from RNAcentral.